CUACGGGGCGCACCAGUGGGAAAUAUUGCACAAUGGGCGCAAGCCUGAUGCAGCCAUGCCGCGUGUAUGAAGAAGGCCUUCGGGUUGUAAAGUACUUUCAGCGGGGAGGAAGGGAGUAAAGUUAAUACCUUUGCUCAUUGACGUUACCCGCAGAAGAAGCACCGGCUAACUCCGUGCCAGCAGCCGCGGUAAUACGGAGGGUGCAAGCGUUAAUCGGAAUUACUGGGCGUAAAGCGCACGCAGGCGGUUUGUUAAGUCAGAUGUGAAAUCCCCGGGCUCAACCUGGGAACUGCAUCUGAUACUGGCAAGCUUGAGUCUCGUAGAGGGGGGGAGAAUUCCAGGUGUAGCGGUGAAAUGCGUAGAGAUCUGGAGGAAUACCGGUGGCGAAGGCGGCCCCCUGGACGAAGACUGACGCUCAGGUGCGAAAGCGUGGGGAGCAAACAGGAUUAGCUACCCCCGUAGUC
RNAcentral lists this ribosomal RNA (464 nucleotides) under uncultured bacterium. RNAcentral's name for it is "partial 16S ribosomal RNA". It matches the Rfam family "Bacterial small subunit ribosomal RNA", at positions 339 to 795 of the family's 1533-position model. The record is from RNAcentral.